RNAcentral lists this long non-coding RNA (252 nucleotides) under Lathyrus oleraceus (garden pea). RNAcentral describes it as "Pisum sativum (pea) long non-coding RNA (PSAT_LNC020730)". Lineage: Eukaryota; Viridiplantae; Streptophyta; Magnoliopsida; Fabales; Fabaceae. The record is from RNAcentral.
GAAGAGAAUGUGAGUGACGUAUGUGGAGAUUCAUGAGAGGGGAUCCCAUCAACACGUGACAGCUCCCCCUUUUCUUUUUCUUUUCCUGCUCCCCUUUCACGUGAGAGAGAAAGGCUAAGAGAGUGUAUUCUUUUUUUUUAAAGAAAAUCAGUGCUCCUUUCCUUUUAAUUCAUUUUUUCUUUUCUAUUUCCUUUUUGUCUUUUAUGUCCAGAGAGAGACGUUGGGGGGUAACGUGUGACCACCCCCUUUUUC